This is a non-coding RNA of Lolium perenne, 2074 nucleotides long. The record is from RefSeq and is a predicted model, not a curated record. Lineage: Eukaryota; Viridiplantae; Streptophyta; Magnoliopsida; Poales; Poaceae.
CGUUUACAUGCUUACAUACAAUCCAAAUCACCCAUUUAAAAGAAGUUGAACUAUUAUGAUUAAAUUUCAAAAUCAGCUAUUCAUAUUGGAUUAUAUAAUUGUGCAGAUGUGGAUCUUCUAAAGGACAUGCUCUCAUAUUGAAGAUUAUUUUGAUUUCGCAUUGGUGUUUGAACUUAUGAGCAUGAUAGAAGAUUCUGGAUAACUUUCUUGAACUUUUUACAGUGUACUUCUUAGCGAGGUUUUCUGAACUCUUUGAAAUGCAUAAAUGGAGAUUUAAUGCUAUGUAUUUUCUUGUUCUAAUUGAUUUGCUGGUUAGUUGGUACUUUUGUUCAUAACCAUGGAGAUAUUUUAGAAGUUCGGAAUUUUUAAAAGCCGAAGUCCAGUUCUACUCUUUUCUUUUUCAGAUAGUUCAUUUUGUCAUGCACCAGUGAUGUCGUCUCACAGUAACACAGGCUGAGCAGGUAGAGGUCAGUGCAGUUCAGACAUAAAAGUCGCGCAGUUCAGACAUGGUAGCAUGCAUUAUCAAGUGAUGGAUCAAUAUGUCUUUUUCCCCUACUUCCUUGCCUAUUAUGUGCAGCUUGCUAAUACAGUCGUAGAGGAGUACGUUGAUCAGUAUAAGGUUUAAUAAUAUAUUACCUAUAUGGAUGUGCAAUGUUUAUUUAUUCAAUUAUACAUUGAAAUCAACAAAAAAAUAAUCACAAGGCAGUUCACAUCAUUGAAAAAUAGGCAGUACGCUCAUCCUAUUUUGGCAGUUCAUUAUAUAAAAUAACAAAAGUUCACUAUUUCUCUGAGAAGUUCAUUUAUUACUACAAAGGGGGUUCACUUUGUUGAUAAAAGUAUCAAUUCAUCAUGCUGAAGUUCCCUUCUUAAAAAUACAUAAUGAUUUGCUACUGCCCCCUUAGUCUCCUACAUGAAUCUGCAUAAGUUGUUAUCUCGUGUUGGGUCAAAAUAUUUAUUUUCUUACUACCUUCACUACUAUUUGCAGCUUGCUAAUACAGAGGAGUACACUGACUGUCGAUUUUCUUGGAAACUAGGAGAGAUAUUGAUUAGGUAACAAUUUACGAUCCUUGCUACCCCUCUCUCUAUAUCUACUUAAUUGAUUCAAUUGCCACUGUGAUUCAUAUUGUUGAAAUGGGCAUUAGAAGCCCAGUCUACCCAUUAACUUUCAACUUGUAGAAGUAUCCAGGUGUUCAUUCGAGCCUUGCAUGGAAGUUCACUUCUUAGUACGCUGAGCACCGUCGGGAGGCCACAUGUCCCUACAAUGGCAGUCUAGUGUGCGCCUGCGGGGAGUCCACCAGAAGAUGGUCGUAGCCGGCAGCCGGCUACAAUUCCUGCAAGGACGCCGACCCUGCUCCCAGAUUUCUGUGGUCCGCCCAGAGGUACCCUCCAACCAGCUCUCACAUGGUUGUGAUUGCUGAAUUGAACUGCUCUGCACGCCCUACCACAGCUUACAAGUUCACGGUCGCCUCCCUCAGGAGCCCAUCACACUCCGCUGUGCAGUCCACCUUGCGCGUCGUCCUGAAGUACACCUUGCGCCCCUUCUCCCGCUCUCGGCUGUGACUCCUCCUAAGCUUCGCUGAUAAGUUCAUUUGGUACAGCAAAGGGGGUUCACUUUUGUCGAUAAAAGUAUCAAUUCAUCAUGCUUAAGUUAUCUUAUACAAAACGAUUUGCUCCUGCCCCAUUAUACUCCUACAUGAAUCUGCAUAAGUGAAGUUGUUAUCUUGUGAUGGGUCUACAUAUUUCAUUUUCUCACUACCUUUACUACUACUUGCAGCUUCCUAAUAUGGAGGUGUACAUCGAUCGGCAAUUUUCUGGAAAACUAGGAGAGAUACUGAUAAGCCCAGCGUCAUGGGUCUCUUGUCAAGCAGAGCUAAGGCGAAAAGUUACUCGACGGGGACACGACCUGAUCCAGGUGUAGACUUUGUGAUGGAUACGUGAGUGUACUCACUUGGCCACCAGGUGCAUGUAUGUUACUAUUGCCAGAUUGAUUCCCAAGUGAUACAAUGUAGAGUCGACAGAGGUCGGUUGAUCAGGUCAAUGCAGGGAGGGAGGCAUGAUCAGUCCAGGUCAACAA